This 273-nucleotide ribosomal RNA is filed under the name uncultured bacterium. RNAcentral describes it as "partial 16S ribosomal RNA". It matches the Rfam family "Bacterial small subunit ribosomal RNA", at positions 523 to 796 of the family's 1533-position model. The record is from RNAcentral.
CUACGAAGGGGGCUAGCGUUGUUCGGAAUCACUGGGCGUAAAGCGCGCGUAGGUGGAUCAAUUAGUUGAGGGUGAAAUCCCGGGGCUAACCUCGGAACUGCCUUCAAUACUGUUGAUCUUGAGACCGAGAGAGGUGAGUGGAAUUCCUAGUGUAGAGGUGAAAUUCGUAGAUAUUAGGAAGAACACCAGUGGCGAAGGCGGCUCACUGGCUCGGUACUGACGCUGAGGUGCGAAAGCGUGGGGAGCAAACAGGAUUAGAAACCCUAGUAGUCC